Molecule: ribosomal RNA, 227 nt
Filed under: uncultured bacterium
Lineage: Bacteria
Description: partial 16S ribosomal RNA
Rfam family: Bacterial small subunit ribosomal RNA
Source: RNAcentral
UGAGUAACACGUAUCCAACCUGCCGUCUACUCCUGACAGCCUUCUGAAAGGAAGAUUAAUACAAGAUGGCAUCAUGAGUCCGCAUGUUCACAUGAUUAAAGGUAUUUCCGGUAGACGAUGGGGAUGCGUUCCAUUAGAUAGUAGGCGGGGUAACGGCCCACCUAGUCUACGAUGGAUAGGGGUUCUGAGAGGAAGGUCCCCCACAUUGGAACUGAGACACGGUCCAA